Molecule: ribosomal RNA, 426 nt
Filed under: Lacticaseibacillus rhamnosus
Lineage: Bacteria; Bacillati; Bacillota; Bacilli; Lactobacillales; Lactobacillaceae
Description: partial 23S ribosomal RNA
Rfam family: Bacterial large subunit ribosomal RNA
Source: RNAcentral
CUCCGUCCAGGAUCCUGAGUACGGCGGAACACGUGAAAUUCCGUCGGAAUCCGGGAGGACCAUCUCCCAAGGCUAAAUACUCCCUAGUGACCGAUAGUGAACCAGUACCGUGAGGGAAAGGUGAAAAGCACCCCGGAAGGGGAGUGAAACAGUUCCUGAAACCGUGUGCCUACAAUUAGUCAAAGCCCGUUAACGGGUAAUGGCGUGCCUUUUGUAGAAUGAACCGGCGAGUUACGUUUGCCUGCGAGGUUAAGAUGAAAAGUCGGAGCCGGAGCGAAAGCGAGUCUGAACAGGGCGCUUCAGUAGGUAGAUGUAGACCCGAAACCAAGUGACCUACCCAUGACCAGGUUGAAGGUGUGGUGAAACACACUGGAGGACCGAACCCAUGUAUGUUGAAAAAUGCUGGGAUGAGUUGUGGGUAGCGGU